RNAcentral lists this long non-coding RNA (970 nucleotides) under Fukomys damarensis (Damara mole-rat). RNAcentral's name for it is "lncRNA (ENSFDAG00000030276.1)". The record is from RNAcentral. Lineage: Eukaryota; Metazoa; Chordata; Mammalia; Rodentia; Bathyergidae.
CUCUCACUGUCUCAGGGAAGGUCCUGGUCCCAGGGCAGGCAGCCCAAGCCUCUUCUAAAAUGAGUGCAUUGCUUUGUCUAUUUUAAUGAUGGAGUUUUUUCCCUAGGGUUAAGGGAGACACUGUGGGGAAGUAGACUACUGUGGCAUACACUAGGUGCUUAAUAAAAGCCAGCAUGUGGGUCCCAGUGCUGUACACUUCUCCAAGCCACCUCCCUCCACUGUUCCUGAUAGAGGCUCCAAGCUCAUGUCUCUCCUUCCUCACCUGGGACCUGGGCCUCCCAAUGCCCCGAGCUCUCUGCUGGGCGCUUGCACUGCUGGAUUCCUGCUCUGUGCCCAACUGCUUGGUGGCACCACAUGUGGGUCCUACCUCCAGGGGGCUCUCGGCUGGACACAUAGGGAAGACAGAACAGCCUUGAGCAGGCUUCCCCCACAGUGGCUACCGUCUCUUCCUUGCUGCCCCAUGAUUUUGGCUGCCUUCUGCACUCAUACUGCUGUAGGAGUGGGAGAGCAGUGGGACUUGAACUCAGGACUUCAUGCACACUAGACAAAUACUCUGCCAUGGAGCACUCCCCAAACCUUUAAAAUGUUUUUUUGUUUUGAUUCAGGUUCACACUAAGUUGCUCAGGGUGGCCUCAAACUUUUGUUCCUAGCCUCUGGAGUAGGUGGGAUUACAAGUGUGUGCCACUGUGCCCAGAUCUGUGUAACAUUUUGUACUCAAUGAAUGACCUUGUAGCUUAGAUUUUUCAAGACGUCUCAGCUUACUGUAGUUGCGAACAUUGGGCUCUCAUUGAGGAAUACUCCCUGGUCAGUGCAGGACUGAGCUGGAACCCUGAGUGGCCCUGUCCUCAGUGAUUCCUGAGAUCACCCAAAUCACUUGUCCAGGUCACACAGCCUGUGGGAAGAGGAGCAGGGAUCCCGCAGCAUCAGUGUAGCCUGGACUUGCUUUCUGGGUGGGUGGUGCUACUGCCCC